UGGUAACUAAAUAAUAAGUGAGCUCGAAAUAUUUGUAAAUUGGUCAACAACUGAAUCAUGACUAAAAGGCCGAAUCAAUUGUAUUGCCGACUUAUCUUGCUGCUUAUCAUAGGCUAUGUAGUGCUGCAGUGCUGCAGCUUUUACCUUAUGGACAGUGCGAACAUAAAGUCGAGAGACGAUUCAGUGAAUAAGAAUAUAACUAAAUAUUUAAAUAUUAUAUAUCCUUUUAUGAUGGAUGUCAACACUGCACAGAUGAUAUCUAAUG
This is a long non-coding RNA of Drosophila arizonae, 265 nucleotides long. The record is from RefSeq and is a predicted model, not a curated record. NCBI's taxonomy places the organism in Eukaryota, Metazoa, Arthropoda, Insecta, Diptera, Drosophilidae.